Molecule: ribosomal RNA, 253 nt
Filed under: uncultured bacterium
Lineage: Bacteria
Description: partial 16S ribosomal RNA
Rfam family: Bacterial small subunit ribosomal RNA
Source: RNAcentral
UACGAAGGAUGCAAGCGUUAUCCGGAUUCAUUGGGUUUAAAGGGAGCGUAGGUGGCCUGGUAAGUCAGUGGUGAAAUCUUCUCGCUUAACGAGAAAACUGCCAUUGAUACUGCUAGGCUUGAGUACAGAUGCCGUUGGCGGAAUAUGACAUGUAGUGGUGAAAUACAUAGAGAUGUCAUAGAACACCGAUUGCGAAGGCAGCUAACGAAACUGUAACUGACACUGAGGCUCGAAAGUGCGGGGAUCAAACAGG